AGUUUUGAGCUAAAUAUAUUAUAAUAUUAGUUUAUUUAUGAAGGUGUUGUAAAACCUUAUUAAGAAUUAUAUUUAGGGGUGAUAGGCCUUUCAAAAACUAAGAUAUCUUGAAUCUAAUUAAAAGUAUGUAGUACAUUCAACACAACUAUUAAGUGAUUAGGCUUUAUAGAACUAUUAACUUAUAAGGAUUUUUAUUUAUUAUAAUUUAAUAAUUAAGUAUAUAAAUAGAAUAAUAUACAUAUAUUAUAGUUUAUAAGGAGUAAUUAGAUAAAUUAAAGUUCAUAAAUUUUGUAAUAAUGUUAAUAUUAGUAUUAAGUUUAUAUUUAUAUGAUGAACUCGGCAAAAAUGUUUCUCAACUGUUUAUCAAAAACAUAACUAUGUGUAUAAAUACAUAGCGGUUUCUGCUCAA
This 409-nucleotide ribosomal RNA is filed under the name Mandarina conus. Its description in RNAcentral is "partial 16S ribosomal RNA". Lineage: Eukaryota; Metazoa; Mollusca; Gastropoda; Stylommatophora; Camaenidae. The record is from RNAcentral.